This 236-nucleotide ribosomal RNA is filed under the name uncultured bacterium. RNAcentral's name for it is "partial 16S ribosomal RNA". It matches the Rfam family "Bacterial small subunit ribosomal RNA", at positions 100 to 339 of the family's 1533-position model. The record is from RNAcentral.
GGACGGGUGAGUAAUACAUGGGAAUCUGCCUGGUAGUGGGGGACAACGUUUCGAAAGGAACGCUAAUACCGCAUACGCCCUACGGGGGAAAGCAGGGGAUCUUCGGACCUUGCACUAAUAGAUGAGCCUAGGUCAGAUUAGCUAGUUGGUGGGGUAAAGGCUCACCAAGGCGACGAUCUGUAGCGGGUCUGAGAGGAUGAUCCGCCACACUGGAACUGAGACACGGUCCAGACUCC